This 21-nucleotide non-coding RNA is filed under the name Caenorhabditis elegans. Lineage: Eukaryota; Metazoa; Nematoda; Chromadorea; Rhabditida; Rhabditidae. The record is from RNAcentral.
UUACAAUCAGGUUCUAUAAAA